AAGUCGAACGGAUGACCUUCGGGUCAUUAGUGGCGCACGGGUGCGUAACGCGUAAGCAACCUACCUACUACUGGGGGAUAGCCCUGGGAAACCGGGAGUAAACCCGCAUGGUAUCACUGACCUUCCUGGGUUGAUGAUUAAAGAUUUAUUGGUAGUAGAUGGGCUUGCGUUGGAUUAGCUAGAUGGCGGGGUAACGGCCCACCAUGGCGAUGAUCCAUAGGGGCUCUGAGAGGAGCGGCCCCCACACUGGCACUGAGACACGGGCCAGACUCCUACGGGAGGCAGCAGUAGGGAAUAUUGGGCAAUGGACGAAAGUCUGACCCAGCCAUGCCGCGUGCAGGAUGAAGGCGCUCAGCGUUGUAAACUGCUUUUGAUAGGGAAGAACGGCCUUCUUGCGAGAAGGUGUGACGGUACCUACAGAAUAAGCACCGGCUAACUCCGUGCCAGCAGCCGCGGUAAUACGGAGGGUGCAAGCGUUGUCCGGAUUUAUUGGGUUUAAAGGGUGCGUAGGUGGCUUUUUAAGUCUGACCUGAAAGUGGGCCGCUUAACGGCACAGGGUGGUUGGAUACUGAAGAGCUUGAAGAGGGUGGAGGCCGCCGGAACGGAUCGUGUAGCGGUGAAAUGCAUAGAGAUGAUCCAGAACCCCGAUUGCGUAGGCAGGCGGCUACGCCCCACUUGACACUGAGGCACGAGAGCAUGGGGAGCAAACAGGAUUAGAUACCCUGGUAGUCCAUGCCGUAAACGAUGAUAACUCGCUGUUGGCCCUUUGGGGUCAGUGGCUUAGCGAAAGCGGUAAGUUAUCCACCUGGGGGAGUACGCGCGGCAACGGUUGAAACUCAAAGGGAAUUGACGGGGGGUCCGCACAAAGCGGUGG
Molecule: ribosomal RNA, 874 nt
Filed under: Larkinella sp. DWV_RS1
Lineage: Bacteria; Pseudomonadati; Bacteroidota; Cytophagia; Cytophagales; Spirosomataceae
Description: bacterial SSU rRNA
Rfam family: Bacterial small subunit ribosomal RNA
Source: RNAcentral